CCUGCGCGCCGCGCCCGCUGCCACGUGGAUGCCACGGAGCAACACAGCCCCUGCGCGGUACGUGUGGCACCGCCCGGGCACCCCCUCUGAAAGCCUUAAAAAAGCUCUAAAUGCUAAUUUUCCGUUGCAAAGCCACAGCUCACUGAGUUUGCAAAGUCAAAAGUCAACAGUUUGUGGCUGGGGGCCCGUUCUGUUGCCUAUAGCACAGGGACCAGCACGGCGGUACUCAGUACACUUGUGCAAACAGGUGGUAGCACACGUCAGCUGCUGGUGCUUCAUGAACGUGCCUCUGGGAGUCUCUGGCUGCAUUUUGCCUGAAAGUCUGGAUAGAGAAAAUAAACCUGCGGGAGCGCUGCUGACAGCAUCAUUCAACCCUUUCCCCUGGCACCUCCUACAGCCUGUCCCUGCAGCACACGGCGGUGCCAGUUCUCUUUCCAGGGAGCUGCUGAAAUGGAAGCAAGGAAUGAUUUGUUUGGGCUUGGAAGUGACUAAAAAAGAUCUGAUAGUCCAACUCCCUGCAGUGAGUAGGGACGUCUUCAACCAGACCAGGUAGCUGAGAGCCCUUUCCCACCCGACCUUGAAUGUUUAUAGGGAUAAUACAUCCACCACCUCUCAGGGCAACCUGUGCCAGCGUUUCAGCACUCUCGUUGUGAGAGGCUGCAGCACUGCAGCCUUGCUAAAAAAUUCAUUCACUGCCUACAAGUACUGAGGAAUAACAGCACACACAUGUAAACACGAAUAAAUUCCUCUAGUGUUGCUAAAGUUUCACACCCUCAGUUCAGUGCCUUUUCAGGAUGUGGGGUUUUUUAAGAACAGAGGGAGCUGACUGCAGAGCAGCAGGAGAGGAUCACGGAGGAGGGAAGGUAGACAGACCUGAAUUGGCAUCACACAGCAAAUCACCUGUAACCUGCUCAGGCAGAAAAGUCAGUUUUAACAGUCUCCAAGCAUAUAUGUGUGUGUGUGUGUGUGUGUGUGUGUGUGUGUGUGUGUGUGUGUGUGUGUGCAGGAGGCUGCAUGGAACACCCAUUACAAACUGUUCCUUACUGAGUGGGCUGCUCAGUCCCACAGAUCCUUUUGUCCAGGCAGUGCAAGGUACCAACACCCUCCUGAAAAGUGCUUUUCUGCCCUGUCACAGCUGAGCUCAGCCUCUGUCCCUGAAAUGUUUCUGUGCCUGGCCACAGAGACAUUUCUCCUGAGCACCACAGGAAGCCUGUGUACCUGAGAUUAUUCACAUCAGCCAUGUGUGACACAGACAGAGGGCAAGAGCACAGCCUGUCCCUUGGGGGUGGCAGGUGGGUCACCAGUUUUUUCAUUUCACCUGUGCAACAUCAGUUACAAUGGCAGGACCUUUUCCAAAUUAAAAAAGAAUUAGCAUAGAGGAGAACUCCAACAUAACACAAGCUACCAGGCCCAUUAGUUUGUUUUCCUGGCACAGGAUAGACAGAGAAUAUCAAGGACCCAACAGUUGUAUCAAACAAUCCCACACUAAGGGCCAGGCCCAAAGGUUACCAAGCCCUGAGCUGUCCCAUGCAGGAGUUAGUCCAUCAGCAAGAGCAACUGAGAGAUAUCCCUGAACUUAAACCUGAAAAUACCCUGACUCAGCCCUGGCAGCACUGCCUUGCAUCCAUCCUGAGAGGUUCAAAUGAAAUUCUGCCUGUCCAAAUUCAGAUGAGAAGUCCUGACUUGACCCAUCAUAACUACACCUGGCUCUGUCAGCACUCAUUGUACUCUGAGUGAAAUUACAUCUGUGGGGAAGAGAAUGAGAUUCAAAUCAGUCCCACAGACCAGUAAUUAAGAAACAGGCAACAUACUUAUUUAUACUUUAUAAGCUCUGAGAGUUUGCUGUCUCCAUGGUUCCUGAAGAAUGCUAUUCUUACUUUGUUACACUGGCAAACACUCCAUCUCUGUGACAGCAGCUAUAUCUAAAAACUCCAAGGCUAUAAAGCUAGAGCAGUGCCAAGCUUCACCAUUUUUCAUCUUAGUAAUUCUACAGUGCAGAGGCCCACAUGGUGCUUUUUUGUUAGGAAAUUCUGCUAUUUCACAGUGCCCUUGCUAGAGGAUAAUUUCACAUUGUUUAAACUACACAGGUAUAAGAAGUUCCACCUGUCUGAAUAAAGCAAUAAAAAGGCAACACUAAGAGCUCCCUUUUGAACAGUUUGAAAGGUCCUGUAUCAAACAGAUUGUUCUGGCACAUAAAGAGAAAUAAACCAUAGCAAGAUGACAGUGUAUCAUUAGGUGUUGUAUCCCACCUCAAAUCACAGAGCCCAGGAACUUCCAGCCCAUUCUCAGGACUAAACAAAAGCUAAAGGCAUAGGGAGGCCCUGCAGCACCCUGCAAAUGAGCCUUCCUGUCCUUAUAUUUUAUCCCCCAUUGGUUAGAGACAGUACACAUGUAAUCAAUUGCAAAUCAGAGAGCACAUCAACCAUUUUCUUUUCUGGAGGAAAACAGAUUUUGUUGUUACACAUCUAACAAUGUCCUUCCAGUUAGUUACUUCUGACUGUUGAAAGGGAAUGAAAUUGGGAAUGGAAUAAUAACAACAACAGAGGAAGCUUGCAAUAGUAGGGUUGAAUUUUGUCAAUUUAUAAAGAAAAAAAAAAAAAAAGCAAAUGCCCACAAGCAAUGAGUGAAACUCUACUGAGAAAAGUGACAAAAAGAACAAUUUUAUUUACUAGCCAGAAUGAACCCAGAAAAGUGAAUGGGAGGACUAUGUGAUGCAGGCAAGCAGUAUUUGCUCGUCUGACAUACAAACAAAGUCUUCCAUCUCACUGUUCUUACCCAAACAAUAUUCCCACUGACAUCUGGAAACACUGAACCAGGUAAGUUCUGGCAGGCUGAGCCUCAGAUUUAUUUUCACAUUUUUAAAAAAUACAGAUUUUUAUUUAUUCAUUGUGAAUAGAUUAAAAAUACAGCAUAAAGCAAUAUCAUGGCAAAAGUCUUUAAAAUAUACAGUUUUUCCCUUCAAAAGAAUGUCACAGAAUAAAUUGUGAAUAUUUCUGUAAACAAUUUCCAUUUUCAUAUUAUUGACAGUCCCAUUUAUUGUAUGCUAAAUCAUCUGAUACACCUUAGGAAAGAAGGUAGUCUUCAUCACCAAAAAGUAGUAUUUGCAAACAAAGAAUUAACCCUAAUGAUUUUUGCACUGCGUUGUGUGCAUAUUUACAUACCAGAUCUACACAGAACUGUCAGCAACUACUGAAUUUAGCAAAUUAAACUACACCAAAAAAUGUCAAUAAUUACACUCUACAUCUUUUGCAUGCACAUUUUGGACACUUUCAAUCUCCUCUCUACAUGGUUAGUGGUGUUGUCACACAUGCUUCCUUCUCAAGGAAAAGCUCAAAGAUUUGGCAUCACCACCUUAUGAGGGAAACAAAUCCUUUUGUCUAAUUUCAGUCCCUCCACUGCAUAGAUUCUGCACAAAGCAGACUAUGCAACUGUCUUCAGAGGUGAGGGGCUUCACCUUUCAUUGACAGCUGAUACCUUAAUGCUAUGAACUGAAAUAGCAAAAAAGGCCACAUCCCAGACAGGCUUUAGGCAUCUAAAGCAGAACUUUGGAAAGGCACUGAAAAUAUUCAUCUGAAUUGCAGUCCUCUGUUUCUAUUUCAGCAUGUACAAAAAAAAUUAGGUCCAAAAAUCUGGUCAUUUUAGUACCUCUACCUAAGACCAGCUGAGAUCUAGCAAUGAGACAUUCCUCCAUUAAUGGGUGAGAGCUUUGCUCUCACUCUCAAAACAAAACAAAAAAAACCAAACAAACAAAAAAAAAAAAAAAGAGAAAGGCCAAGGGCACUGCUUUCCCAAAACCUCUGCAAUCUACAGCAAAAAGAUGCUGCCAUCUGUUGCAAGGCUGCUCACAGCUACAAGUGCCUGCUGGUUACAGCACCAGCCAGAAGCACAUCCAAGGGUAACUUUCCCUUCCCUCCUAGAAAGGAUUCAAAUUCUCCCUUAACCACCAGGAGUUCACCUCUUUCAGACAGUGGCAGUUGUUAUUGACAUCACCCUUGGAUAAUGUCUAAACAGCAAUUCAAGAUCCACUUGCCAUAAAAAAAGAAAAAAUGGGAGCAUAAUCUGGUUCCAGUGACAGGCACUUGCACAGGAAAGGAAGAACUGAUUUCUGUUCCCUGAACAGCUUCUGCAUUUUACAAGAAAUUAAUAUUCCUUGGCUAUGAGAGAAAUCCUAAUCAAUUCUGCAUCAUCUCAUGGCCUGCUUAGCUUUACACCUGCUUGGCUGAAGUGGUGAGCACUACAGGUCAUUCAGCACUUCACAGGGGCUGGCCCUUGUGCACAUCAAUUUACACCUCAGGAGACUGCCAGGCCAAGGAGGCAGAAGCUUCCAUCUGAAACCUCCUGCAAAAUGACUGUUAACCACAACCAAGGAACAGGAACAGCUUCUGUACUAUCCACACAGAUGGCACAGCAGCUUUGGAAUAAAAGACUGGAUUUGAAGAAACUUAUCUCUAUGCAAUGAUAAUUCAACCACCACCAGGUAUUUCUCCUCCCCUCACUGAUCAGUAUUAGGCAAAGAGGACAUAAAUUCAAGUGUUUUGGGGUAAUACUGUUGUCCCUUUCUAACCAAAAACUCUUCUCUAAAUAGUAUUUGCAGAUAAAAUACCAUUUAAAUAUAUACUUAAACCAUGUAAAUUGUUUUUUGUACAUAGAAAUAGGUGAAUCAACAUCUCCUAACUUCUUCAAACAUCCAUCUGGAAAUGGUGGAAAACGUGUUCUCAUUUUAAGUGAGAUGAUCUAGCUUCACUGAGAUUUGAGAUGCCCCUGUAAAACCAACUUCAAAUUACCCAUAUAUUACAAAUCUUGCUACUGUACAUUAUUGGACAAAUAUAAGAUCGGUAGACUUUUAUACAAAGAAAAUUUUAUAUGGUGCAACAUGUGAAAAUGAGAGAGGUAGCUGGAAGCCUCACCUCACCAGGAACAUGAAUGAUUUUCUAAUGGUAUAAUAUGCAAUGUUGGUAAUGAAUAAAAUAUUCUACCCUGAAUAUCCUCACUGCCAAUCUGAAUCAUCUUCCAUACCCUUUGCCAAACUAAGGAUUCUAUCUGAAAUUCAUUUGAGAAUAAAUGUCCAACAAUGUCAGCAAAAUAGAAUGGGACUACUUAUUAACAUCAGUAGCUGCAUCCACAAACUGAAAAUUUGUGUUCAUGUGCAAAUUUGGUGAUCAUUUUUUCAAAUGAUGAAAAAAUGCUUAGAAUUUAGGAAAAUGUUUUUCUGUAUGUGGGGAGGAGAAGAAAAAUGUAAACACACUGAUCAUUUGCUGGGUAAAAAACAGGACAUGUAAAACCUAAACAAUAAGGCCUUGUUUUCUUUCGUCAAAAAAACUAGGCCCCUCAGUUCUAACAGUAAAAAAAGUACAAAAGAUUCAAGUGUGUGUGUAUUACAGCUUUAAAACACAAAGAGAAGUAUGCUAUGGCACCCUACAUACUACUUACAUUUAGAUUUCUACCCUCAAAAAUUAUAAAACUAAAAUAUGAAAAAAAACCAACCUGGUAACAUCACAUAAAAAUACAUCUUUGUAGCUGCAAAUGCAGCAAGUCUAUAACAAAUUUAUAUACAAGAACUGCUUAAUUUCAGUGUCAUUCUUCCAUCAUUGCCCAAGCCUCUUCUGCCUUUUGGUAGUACUGAUUUGCCAGCCUGCCCUUCAUGGCUUCCAUGGCUGCUUCUGCUGCUUCUGUGUAAAGCUCACCUAGAGAGGAAACAGCAUCAGUUAUGUUGACAGAGUGAAGAAGGAAUAUGGUUUUAGCCUUAAGCAAAUAAAGGACAAAGGGAGAAAUUGAGGUCAAACUGCAGGGCCGGAUGUAUGGGUGUGUUUUAACAGUGUCAGUUACAUCAGCUGGGAACCUGGCCUCUGCUCUUCAAGUUAUACAACUGGCUGCUGAUGCUCCCCAAUGUAUCUGGAAGGACUGCAAACAGGACCAGCCUGUAGGAGCCCCCCAGGACAGACAUCUAGCAUGUUGAACCCUCCCAUCAUUAACAUCUCAGCUUCCCUGGCCAGGAGCAGAUACCGUGGCUCAUCCUGAGUGCCAUCAUAUUCACCUCCCUCAUCGUAGUCGGUCAUGUUCAGCGCAGCGUUGUACCAGUGAAGUGCCUCCUUCCAGUCCUGGGCCCUGAAGGCAAAAAUAAUUUCUGAAGAUGGUUCCCUUAGGAAACAAAUGUACUUUGCCUUGGAGACUCAGCAUCCAAUUUUGUACUGACUUUUCAGAGUGCUAAUGCUCUCCAAGAAAGCAAAUGUUCUCAUGGAGACUCACUAAAUGCACUGUGGCAUCAGGUACCAAGCAAAAUGAGGCUGGGGUCACUUUAUGCAGGAAUUACAGGAGAAAGUAUCAGACUGAAGUGUUUUCCUGAACUCCAGAGUAUGAGCUUCAUUAUCAGUUGUAUGAUUUUGGCAUUAACAUUUGUGAGAGCAACCAAUUUAGGAAAAAAUCUCAAGUUGCAGAGUUUUGUUUCAUGAAUACUUUAAAAUCAGUUAUUUUGCACACUGAGAAUGCUCAGUGAAGUUCAGAUAGAAGUUUAAUGUUAUUUGACAGUGGGAAAUUUAAACAGUAUCACUGCUGUGCAAAACAGAAAACUCACAUAAAUAACAAAGACAUGCUAAAAUACAAAAGCAGAAAAAUCAUUGCCCCAGCCUUGCCUCAGUGAAGUACCACCAAGUUAAUCUACUCAGCCAUGCACAGUACCUGUCUGCACCAAGAUUUACACCUGUAUCAUAUGCUCUUGCUACCAGAAUCAUGGAAGGCCGGUCUCCAGCUUCUGCUGCUCUCAGCAAGUAAUUAAAUCCUUUAUUUCUGUUCUCCUUUGUAUCCUAGUAAAGAAAACAAAACCUUUAAAAUGCAUGCUUCUAAAACCAUCCCUUUACCAUUAAAUGCAGUUUCUCAAAGUCAGCCAGUAUUUAGUAUGUCUGAGAAAUUGGCACAGCCACAAGAAACAAAGCAGCUGAACAGCAGAGGUGGCUUCAAAAGCUUCCCAAAGGCAUGCAGUAAUCUGCUGGCAAAACCAGAAAGAGGCAGCAUUUUUUUUGCUGCUUCAUCCAAAUCCUUAAUUACAAAGUAAUCUAUUUUCUCUGAAGAGGCUACACAACACCUAACUGUGGUUUUCGUUUCAUCUCCAUUUCCUACUAUUCUAAUGUUAUUUUUACAAUGGACCACAAUUCUCCUUUUUGGCAUCUUCCAUACCUCGAGAGUGACCUCAGACAGAAUGUGAUGUGGCAGCUGAGAGCACAUGAGGCCCAACCCAACGAUGGCUUCCAGCUCCCCACAGUCUGCAGCAUGCUCCAGGUGGAACAGGGCUGACUCCCGAUCCCAUUCCUUGUCCUUCUCACAGAAGCGCCCGCCUUCAUGGUAGCGAACCAUGGCCAGGUGCACCUGGACACAAUUGCACAGGAGAGACAGCAUGAGAGCUUCCCAAACUGUCUUCAUCAGACUCCUGCCUCCGGUUGUUGUUUGAAUGGCCCUACGUUAACGUAAAGAUUUGCAUCAUUGAAUUUGCAGCAACUGAUGUGUGCCAGAUAUGCCUCUAGACUCUUCCUACCUUCCAGAAUUAGUAGUGACAGUGAAUUAAAAAAGACCAAAACUGUU
This is a long non-coding RNA of Haemorhous mexicanus (house finch), 7572 nucleotides long. RefSeq lists it as uncharacterized. The record is from RefSeq and is a predicted model, not a curated record. The transcript has 4 exons. NCBI's taxonomy places the organism in Eukaryota, Metazoa, Chordata, Aves, Passeriformes, Fringillidae.